CACGUAGGGCGCAAGCGUUGUCCGGAAUUAUUGGGCGUAAAGAGCUCGUAGGCGGUCUGUUGCGUCUGCUGUGAAACCGGGGCUUAACCCCUGGCUUGCAGUGGAUACGGACAGACUAGAGGUAGGUAGGGGAGAAUGGAAUUCCCGGUGUAGCGGUGAAAUGCGCAGAUAUCGGGAGGAACACCGGUGGCGAAGGCGGUUCUCUGGGCCUUGACCUGACGCUGAGGAGCGAAAGCGUGGGGAGCGAAACAGGAUU
Molecule: ribosomal RNA, 256 nt
Filed under: uncultured bacterium
Lineage: Bacteria
Description: partial 16S ribosomal RNA
Rfam family: Bacterial small subunit ribosomal RNA
Source: RNAcentral